RNAcentral lists this ribosomal RNA (257 nucleotides) under uncultured Glomus. Its description in RNAcentral is "partial 18S ribosomal RNA". It matches the Rfam family "Eukaryotic small subunit ribosomal RNA", at positions 624 to 885 of the family's 1831-position model. The record is from RNAcentral. Lineage: Eukaryota; Fungi; Glomeromycota; Glomeromycetes; Glomerales; Glomeraceae.
AAGCUCGUAGUUGAAUUUCGGGGUUAGUAGGUUGGUCAUGCCUCUGGUAUGUACUGGUCUCACUGAUUCCUCCUUCCUUAUGAACCGUAAUGCCAUUAAUUUGGUGUUGCGGGGAAUUUGGACUGUUACUUUGAAAAAAUUAGAGUGUUUAAAGCAAGCUAACGCCUGAAUACAUUAGCAUGGAAUAAUGAAAUAGGACGUUCGAUCUUAUUUUGUUGGUUUCUAGGAUUGACGUAAUGAUUAAUAGGGAUAGUUGG